Non-coding RNA from Candidatus Bathyarchaeota archaeon B23, 120 nucleotides. NCBI's taxonomy places the organism in Archaea, Thermoproteati, Candidatus Bathyarchaeota. The record is from Rfam.
GUUACCGGCCAGAGGGCGCGGGAACCACCCGAACCCAUACCGAACUCGGAAGUUAAACCGCGCUCCGUCUGCGGUGGUAGUGUAGUCCUCGGCUACGCGAAGCCGCGGAAGCUGGUAACC